UUGGAAGUCAGAAUUCCACCCAUAGUCUUCAAAGGGGAAGAGCACCCCCUCCUUAUUGCAAGGGGCCUGGAAGAGAGGGCUCUGCCCACGGACUGUAUUUCCUACAGUGCCUAUCAAGGUGGAGGAUGGGGCAUGACUUGCUUGUGGUACUCACCCUGAGAGCAGGCAGGAGGAAGACACAAAAGGACUGAUGAUCAUCUAGAAGGUUUAACCCUUUCAAGCCUGAAGACUUUGAGAGACACUAAUCUUGGGGUCCACUCCCAGACAUUCUGACUUAAAUGUCCUCAGGUGACAUCAUGUGAUUUUUAAAAACCUUCCAUGGAGAUUCUAAUGGUUCAUCAGUGCUGAGAUUACAAGGAGAGAAGGAUGACAGAAUAAAAAGAGCCAUGUCUUUA
Macaca mulatta (Rhesus monkey) is the source of this 395-nucleotide non-coding RNA. The record is from RefSeq and is a predicted model, not a curated record. NCBI's taxonomy places the organism in Eukaryota, Metazoa, Chordata, Mammalia, Primates, Cercopithecidae.